CUUUUUAAUUACUGCAUUGGUCUCCUCUGUAAAUUUCUUUUUUUUUUUUUACUUUUACCCUCCUCUUUUUACACUAGUCAAAAGUUCGUCAAGUGCUCCGUAUGCUAUCUUGGGAUCAAUCUCAUUUGCCAAACAAAUUAGUUCAAUGAUCAUGGAGUACUAGUAUUCUGUUAGUGAUCUCUACCGAUUGGGUGGUUGUAAUAUGUAUGCCGAUGGUAUUAUGCCACGAUUUC
This 233-nucleotide long non-coding RNA is filed under the name Linum usitatissimum (flax). RNAcentral describes it as "long non-coding RNA (LUSI_LNC007746)". The record is from RNAcentral. Lineage: Eukaryota; Viridiplantae; Streptophyta; Magnoliopsida; Malpighiales; Linaceae.